RNAcentral lists this ribosomal RNA (465 nucleotides) under Vreelandella stevensii. RNAcentral describes it as "partial 16S ribosomal RNA". It matches the Rfam family "Bacterial small subunit ribosomal RNA", at positions 338 to 795 of the family's 1533-position model. The record is from RNAcentral. Lineage: Bacteria; Pseudomonadati; Pseudomonadota; Gammaproteobacteria; Oceanospirillales; Halomonadaceae.
CCUACGGGUGGCUGCAGUGGGGAAUAUUGGACAAUGGGCGAAAGCCUGAUCCAGCCAUGCCGCGUGUGUGAAGAAGGCCUUCGGGUUGUAAAGCACUUUCAGUGGGGAAGAAAGCCUUGGGGCUAAUACCCUCGAGGAAGGACAUCACCCACAGAAGAAGCACCGGCUAACUCCGUGCCAGCAGCCGCGGUAAUACGGAGGGUGCGAGCGUUAAUCGGAAUUACUGGGCGUAAAGCGCGCGUAGGCGGUCUGAUAAGCCGGUUGUGAAAGCCCCGGGCUCAACCUGGGAACGGCAUCCGGAACUGUCAGGCUAGAGUGCAGGAGAGGAAGGUAGAAUUCCCGGUGUAGCGGUGAAAUGCGUAGAGAUCGGGAGGAAUACCAGUGACGAAGGCGGCCUUCUGGACUGACACUGACGCUGAGGUGCGAAAGCGUGGGUAGCAAACAGGAUUAGAUACCCGGGUAGUC